GAUGAACGCUGGCGGCGUGCUUAACACAUGCAAGUCGAACGAGAAGUGAAGACGGAAACCUUCGGGCGGAAGGCUUUAUUUCGAGUGGCGGACGGGUGAGUAACGCGUGGGUAACCUGCCUCAUACAGGGGGAUAACAUUUGGAAACGACUGUUAAUACCGCGUAAGACCACAGCACCGCAUGGUGCGGGGGUAAAAACUCCGGUGGUAUGAGAUGGACCCGCGUUCGAUUAGCCAGUUGGCGGGGUAACGGCCCACCAAAGCGACGAUCGAUAGCCGAUCUGAGAGGAUGACCGGCCACAUUGGGACUGAGACACGGCCGAAACUCCUACGGGAGGCAGCAGUGGGGAAUAUUGCAAAAUGGGGGAAACCCUGAUGCAGCGACGCCGGGUGAGUGAAGAAGUAUUUAGGUAUGUAAAGCUCUAUCAGCAGGGAAGAAAAUGACGGUACCUGAGGAAGAAGCCCCGGCUAACUACGUG
RNAcentral lists this ribosomal RNA (478 nucleotides) under uncultured bacterium. RNAcentral describes it as "partial 16S ribosomal RNA". It matches the Rfam family "Bacterial small subunit ribosomal RNA", at positions 28 to 507 of the family's 1533-position model. The record is from RNAcentral.